Molecule: non-coding RNA, 70 nt
Organism: Podarcis lilfordi (Lilford's wall lizard)
Lineage: Eukaryota; Metazoa; Chordata; Lepidosauria; Squamata; Lacertidae
Source: the annotation of a GenBank genome assembly
GGAUAGCUCGAUCCGUUAGAGCGUGGUGUUGAUAACGCCAAGGUUGCAGGUUCAAUCCCCAUUUGAGACA